Long non-coding RNA from Apis mellifera (honey bee), 3241 nucleotides. RefSeq lists it as uncharacterized. NCBI's taxonomy places the organism in Eukaryota, Metazoa, Arthropoda, Insecta, Hymenoptera, Apidae. The transcript is spliced from 4 exons. The record is from RefSeq and is a predicted model, not a curated record.
UGCUUCAAUACGAUACACUUGAUAAUCUUCUCUUGCGCGAAAUUUCGAAGAUUAAAAAGGGGGCAUGAAAGGCAGGAAGAAAAGAGGAGCGAAAAGACAGCAAUUUUUUUCUGCGGGACGUGGGAAAGCUCGUGGACAAGGGACGGCGAAGAUGCCCACGACCAUUCACCUGUCAACUACUUUCUUCCUCUUCUACGGCUUCGUGUUCUUCUUCGUGUGCCAGUAUUGCUCCGAGGUGGCACAACUCGGCGCUGGCAUCGGCGCUGCUCACGUAGUCGCGCCUACCAAAACAUCCUCGACGAUCCUCCAUUUGACUCGCCAUUCAUCGCUGGUGAAACAGCUUAAUAUAAUCCUAUUUAAGGAGCUCCCAUUGUGACUAUACCGGCUAGUGGUACGUGACCGAAAUUAUUUACUCGUUUAUUAGAUGUCGCUGACUGAUCGGCAGCCUCCCGUCGGAUUUGACGUUCGCCUCUCCCAUUGUAACACUUCAUUGUUGCUCAAAAAAAGAUAUUCGGUAUAUAACUGAAACGCUUAUAUGCAGUAAUAAUGCAGCAAUUGCAUAUUUCUUUUUUUUUUUUUUUGCAUUUUAUUAUUUCAAUUUUACUUAGAAUAGAAAGAAAAGUCAUUCGGAUAAAAUUUGUUUGAUUUAUGGCCAUGAAGGAUUUUUCAUAGUCAUUUUGUGAAGAUUAACCAAGAAUUAAUUUUAUCCCCUCUCGUCUCGUAGAAGGGUAGUAUGUUCUGGGAAACUCGAUGGUAGUAGAAAAUUUAUACGAGAUUCCAGGAGUUUCAAACUCACGCGAGGAUGAACACGGUCCGCUCUGUCGAUCCGGAAACCACGGGAUCACGAAUCUCGUGGAAAUCUUGUUUUCUAUGAUGACAUCUCAUAUACACGCGCAUGCGCUUAAGUAAUCACUCUGUCUUAUCUAUUAUUAAACCCUUUUAUUAACUAAAAAUCUUCUUCAAAGGUGAAUAGAAAAAGUUAUCGAAGAUCGAACUGAAAUUUAAUUUAUUGAAAUUGUGAAAAGGAAAUAAUCAGGAAAAUAAGGGAGUAAGUUGAUUUCGUCAACCGUUAUUGCGGUUACUUAAAUGGAGUCAUAUCAUUGCCAGAGAAACGAUUAGAUGCAAUCGAAUUCCAGGAUCGGUCUGUCGGCGAAGUUUACACUCGAGUCUCGGCAUAGCUUUGCUAUGUUAGGUGGGCCAACAUAAGCAAACCUCUUGAGACGAGGCACAUGUGGCCAACAAUGGGCCAAAUAGCAUAGAAGGUUACAUGUGUAACAUAAGAUAAGGACCGGAACCGGAUGCCGGGAAAGACAAAGGUUCGCCCGUAGAAGAAACGAGCCUUGGAAAGAUAGAUCCUUCAAUUAUCGACCUGAAGUAAAUUCCAUAAUUUCAUACGGUUUCUCUGAUCAAUCAAAUCCCUGUUCGAAUAUCAGAUUACACGAUGUUCAUUGUUGUGAGAUAUAUGCAUGAUCGAAAUAUAGUAUUCAUGCACGGAUAUUCCGAGUGAACGCACGCAUUGUAUUCUAACAUGUACGUUAAUUCGGUAAAAGUAUAUGCAGCACGAAGCUCUCGGACUUUCGCAGGAUUAACCGCAGAUUUUCCUAGCCUCGAGAACGGCAGGAAGUGCUCGUGUGCCGGAUUGGUCCACGGGAUUAAAGGCAGAAGCGACAAGGCAGGUCCUGGAAGCAAGGUGACUCGCGAGGACCACCCGUCGGGGCCGUUUAAAGGAUUAUCCUUGGAGGUGCCAUCAUGUCAAAACACCGGACCUCUGAGAAUAGCUUGACUUCGACACUUGCCGCCACAGAAUUAUAGGAAAGGAGAGGAAUCGGCAAUUGUUUGGUUGUCAUCGCGAAAAAGCAGAAGAUUUAAGAUUAGAAAUAGUAAUAAAUAUUAAGAGGAAUAAAUAUAAAUUGGUUAACAUUUGAACGUUACAUUAGCAGUUAUAAUUUCUUUAUUGCAUAAUUAUUUAUCGUGUUUCUUAUUUCACAUUAAUUAUAAAUGUUUGAUAUCAAGUUUUUUUUUUUAGAUGUACACGAUAACAUUCUAUUAUACAUUCCGCCACAAUUUAAUCGUCGCAAUUGACAGUGGAGUUUUAAUCAUUUCGACAUACGCUUCCUUCGACUAUUUAUGUCAACGUUACAUUAGCAGUUAUAAUUUCUUUAUUGCAUAAUUAUUUAUCGUGUUUCUUAUUUCAUAUUAAUUAUAAAUGUUUGAUAUCGAGUUUUUUUUUUUUUUUUAGAUGUACACGAUAACAUUCUAUUAUACAUUCCGGCACAAUUUAAUCGUCGCAAUUGACAGUGGAGUUUUAAUCAUUUCGACAUACGCUUCCUUCGACUAUUUAUGUCAACGUUACAUUAGCAGUUAUAAUUUCUUUAUUGCAUAAUUAUUUAUCGUGUUUCUUAUUUCAUAUUAAUUAUAAAUGUUUGAUAUCGAGUUUUUUUUUUUUUUUUAGAUGUACACGAUAACAUUCUAUUAUACAUUCCGCCACAAUUUAAUCGUCGCAAUUGACAGUGGAGUUUUAAUCAUUUCGACAUACGCUUCCUUCGACUAUUUAUGUCAACGUUACAUUAGCAGUUAUAAUUUCUUUAUUGCAUAAUUAUUUAUCGUAUUUCUUAUUUCAUAUUAAUUAUAAAUGUUUGAUAUCGAGUUUUUUUUUUUUUUUAGAUGUACACGAUAACAUUCUAUUAUACAUUCCGCCACAAUUUAAUCGUCGCAAUUGACAGUGGAGUUUUAAUCAUUUCGACAUACGCUUCCUUCGACUAUUACACCGCUGCUAUCUAUAUUUAUAAUAUAUACAAUAAUCAUUCGAACGUAUGUCCACGUGUGUGCGGACAUGUCUUGUCAAAUAACGGUGGCACUACGAGUAUAUAUUGUCCAGUCACAGUCUGCCACCGAGACAAGGAGAAACUCCAUACUGACAGUCAGCUCCAUUAAGUUCCAUUAUGGGUUCGCGGCGCGAAAGGUACACAGUAUUCGCAUUGCGCCUUCACUGAAACUUUUCGUUGGUCGCGCAGCAACUCGUUAAACUCGUUAAACCAAAAGACAGGACUGGCAUCGCUCAAAGAAUGACAACGAGUUCUACUUUUACGAUUAAGAUCGAUGGGAUGCGUUCGAAGCACUGAACAAACCGCAAGUCCCGUUUAUUUAAUUGCAGAUAGACUUCCUCGAAAUGCUUUCAAUAUAUAUAUUAUACACAUUUUAUACGAAGAACAGAUUUAUAUAGAUAUACGUAUAUUCUUUG